CAUACUCCUUUUUUUUAAAGCUAGACUCUGUUGGAGUUUCUCUAUGUGUCAAAUGAAAACAACAUCAAAACUUGACUCAUUUUGUUCUGUUAAAAAUAUAUAUUCGGAGAACUUGUCAGCUUCUCGAAAUGCCUCUUUAUUCUCACACCACAGAUAGGUUGGGGUCACCACCUGGCCACCAGAUCAGGAACUACAGUGAUGCAUGCAGGGGCAGUGGCUUCAGGGGCAGUAGAGCAAACACACCUUGAAGUUUCCUGAGUGGUUGUCUUUCCGAGAUGGAGCCAUGGAGGAUGGCCGGCGCAUUUCUGAGGAUGCACAGGAGUAUAAGCCUCAUAUGGUGGUGCCCUAGAGGAAGUAUUGUUCGUACCUACUCUGUGGCCAGGACCCAUUUCAUCAGGCGAGAGAGCUGAUGUCCCACAGCACAGCAGAGAGCAGUAUCAUUGUAUCCACCAGGCAUGCCAACUGUCUGCUUUAGGGAGAACAAGCAACAGCCAACAUAUGAAUGUCCAAGGAAAUGAAUGGAGCUUGUCAUCUUCCAGAGUCUGGAUGCAGAGCUCCUAAAGGUCUGGACACAAGCGAAGGACCUGCAGAUCCAUCCAUGCAGCAGGACUUCUCUGAAGGUCAGAACAGAAGGCCAAUGAGGAUGCAGAAUACUGACUCAGGGGCUCUCAUCAAAACUGGAAACCCAGAUAGAAGUGGGGCCAAAUGUUACUGUUCUUACCUUCAGCCUUCAUUCAUGCAUGUUGAAGUAUGUGGAGAGCUUCCCUCAUCCAGCCACCAUGCUAGGCGUGGUUAUAGUGGGGAACAAAAGUAAGCACGAUCCCUCCUAUCUGGGAAUUUACCUCUUAGAGGGAAGUCAGGAAUUAAUAAAGUGGUUAUGCUAAUAAACUGA
Molecule: long non-coding RNA, 892 nt
Organism: Galeopterus variegatus (Sunda flying lemur)
Lineage: Eukaryota; Metazoa; Chordata; Mammalia; Dermoptera; Cynocephalidae
Exons: 2
Source: RefSeq, a predicted model, not a curated record